GAAUGAUACGGAGAAGAUUAGCAUGGCCCCUGUGCAAAAUGAUAUGCACAUUUGGAUGCAUUCCAAACUUU
RNAcentral lists this small nuclear RNA (71 nucleotides) under Cervus elaphus hippelaphus. Lineage: Eukaryota; Metazoa; Chordata; Mammalia; Artiodactyla; Cervidae. The record is from RNAcentral.